AAGAUAGCCCAGAUUUCUCAUUUCUCCAUAUACACUUUAUGUUCUAGAUUGAAUUACAAAAAGAUGGUGAACGGUGUCUAUGAGAGAGGCAAGAAAGAAGCAGGCAGCCAGACCUCAGAGGUGGUGGGGAAGAAAAUCUCGAUAUCAUAUGAGGAAGUGACUGUAUGCUUGGAAAAUCAGCUAGCAGAAGCUUGGUAGGCAGGAUCUGCUUACUGCAGUGCAGCAGGCAGCCACAGGCUAGUGUUUGAAGGCUUUUGAAGCAUGCGUAUGUUUACUGAGGAAAGCAACUGUGCACCUGAUAUUUACCCACCAAAGAUUCUGAUCUUUCAGAUGAAGUUGUAACAGAAUCCCAUAGAGUGAUGGAGAGAAGUGGUGAUUUCCUUUUACUGCUCUUCAUACCUGAAAUUCACUUGUUAUUGAAAGAAGGUGACAGAGUUCUAAGAGUCUUCAAUGAAGCCUUGCUGACAAUGUCUGAGCUCAUUAUCUGCUCUGAGAUGCUACUACCUUUUCAUUUUCCUGGGCUUAUCCAUACAAGUUACAAAUGAAUGUCUUUGAAACUCACUUGCAGAGUUCUUAUCAGAUGUGCAUAUAAAAUCCAAGUCUCCUCAUUCUUCCAUUGUUAAAACUGUUUCCAAUUAAAAUGACUGAUUAUUUUUCUUCCUUACCUAAUUAUUUUGAAGUCUGUCUCAUAAUUCACUGUUACCUUUAUGAAUUUUCAAAAAAAAAUAAGAUAUGAGAUUGAUUAGGAGUUACUGUCAAUUAAAACUUGUAUUAACUUGCUUAACAAAAUAAUUUAUGUCUGAGGUACUCUCAGGUAACUUCCAUGACAUAUUUUCACAAGCGUGCUGUCUGAUGCAACCAACCUAAUGGUUUUUUAUCUAAGGAAAACGACAGAAUUCCUAACAGUUGAAAAUGCAGCUGGUCUCCUUAUGUUAUUUAUAAAACCUCAGGUUUUAUUCAGUGAGCUGUCAUGAAGACAGUGCUCAUGGAUUACACUGACACACUCUGCACAUCUAAGAACUCCAUUUGAAACUUCACAAACACUUUUCACUUAUGCAAUUCUACAGUCAAAUGCCACCUUAAAACUGCAGUGAAGUAUUGAAAGGCCAGCAUGUAGGAAUUACUAGCUUUCCUUUUACCAAACUGGGUAUGUUGUGGAUAACACCACCUUAGAAUUCCAAAUGGUGUCUUACCACCUUUACUUUGUAGCAGAACAAAAAAUGUAUUUUUAUGAACACUUCAAGCCAACCCAUUUGUGAUCUCUGUUGAAAGGCUUCGGCUCAUUAUAGCAUUUGACAUCAGGCUGGUGAAAUUGUUGUGGAGGGAUACAUAUAUACACAGAGAAUUAAUAGUGUAAUCUGUGAAGUGGGAUAAGAGAAAGCUAACUCCAAGCUUUCUUUUCUUUUAAAGAAUUUAUACUGUAAAUAAAAGUCAGUGCAUUACUCUUUCUUCCUUCCA
RNAcentral lists this long non-coding RNA (1458 nucleotides) under Phasianus colchicus (ring-necked pheasant). RNAcentral describes it as "lncRNA (ENSPCLG00000017889.1)". The record is from RNAcentral. Lineage: Eukaryota; Metazoa; Chordata; Aves; Galliformes; Phasianidae.